GAGACCUCACAUGCUUCCACUCUCUCUUUCGUAACCCCACCAGCUUCCACAAGAACGAGCCUAGGCUAGUCUGAUGCAGGAUAAGAGACCAUAUGGAGCAGAGAUGAGCCAACCCAACAGGACCUGCACGAGUGACCUCAAAGACAGAAGCACCACCCAGCUGAACCCAUCUUCAACGGUCAGCCUGAAGAAUUGCUCCAGCCACAAUGCCCAACUUGAUUCACCCAGGAGAGGAAGAAAAAGAACGGCUUGGCGCACUUUCCUCUGUCGGCUUCGUCCUCAGCAGCACCCGGGGAGGCCAGCGGCCCGGCGGCUCCCCGCUCAGCAGUCAGGAAGGAAGGAGGGCACUUCCUUUCCAAGUUUCCAGAACAAGUCCCAGGCCUGAUUCUGACUGGUCUCACUUGAUCAUGUGCACGUCCCUCCGCCUAUCACCGAGGUCAGAGGCCGUGUUUCCUGUCUGUGAAAUGAUAGCAGAGCCAC
Long non-coding RNA from Lemur catta (Ring-tailed lemur), 480 nucleotides. RefSeq lists it as uncharacterized. NCBI's taxonomy places the organism in Eukaryota, Metazoa, Chordata, Mammalia, Primates, Lemuridae. The record is from RefSeq and is a predicted model, not a curated record. The transcript is spliced from 4 exons.